GACGAACGCUGGCGGCGUGCUUAACACAUGCAAGUCGAACGGAAAGGCCCUGCUUUUGUGGGGUGCUCGAGUGGCGAACGGGUGAGUAACACGUGAGUAACCUGCCCUGGACUUUGGGAUAACUUCAGGAAACUGGGGCUAAUACCGGAUAGGAGCUCCUGCUGCAUGGUGGGGGUUGGAAAGUUUCGGCGGUUGGGGAUGGACUCGCGGCUUAUCAGCUUGUUGGUGGGGUAGUGGCUUACCAAGGCUUUGACGGGUAGCCGGCCUGAGAGGGUGACCGGCCACAUUGGGACUGAGAUACGGCCCAGACUCCUACGGGAGGCAGCAGUGGGGAAUAGUGCACAAUGGGCGGAAGCCUGAUGCAGCAACGCCGCGUGCGGGAUGACGGCCUUCGGGUUGUAAACCGCUUUCGCCUGUGACGAAGCGUGAGUGACGGUAAUGGGUAAAGAAGCACCGGCUAACUACGUG
RNAcentral lists this ribosomal RNA (468 nucleotides) under uncultured bacterium. RNAcentral's name for it is "partial 16S ribosomal RNA". It matches the Rfam family "Bacterial small subunit ribosomal RNA", at positions 28 to 507 of the family's 1533-position model. The record is from RNAcentral.